RNAcentral lists this ribosomal RNA (253 nucleotides) under uncultured bacterium. RNAcentral describes it as "partial 16S ribosomal RNA". It matches the Rfam family "Bacterial small subunit ribosomal RNA", at positions 524 to 776 of the family's 1533-position model. The record is from RNAcentral.
UACGUAGGGGGCGAGCGUUGUCCGGAAUUAUUGGGCGUAAAGAGCGUGUAGGCGGUUCGGUAAGUCUGCCGUGAAAACCUGGGGCUCAACCCUGGGCGUGCGGUGGAUACUGCCGGGCUAGAGGGUGGUAGAGGCGAGUGGAAUUCCCGGUGUAGCGGUGAAAUGCGCAGAUAUCAGGAGGAACACCAAUGGCGAAGGCAGCUCGCUGGGACGUGACUGACGCUGAGACGCGAAAGCGUGGGGAGCAAACAGG